AUGAUGAUGGCACGAGGUAAGUAAUGUCUUCAUGAAAGUAUGUUAGUUUUUCUUUUGUUUUAUUGUUUGUUGUUCAAGUUUAUCGUCUAAUGACGUCACUUUGUCCACUAUGUUUUUGUAUGAUUUUAUCAGCUGUAAUGAUUGGACUCCACAAAUGGGUAUGGAAUUUAAUGAUGUAGAUGAGGCAAGAGAGUUUUGGAAGACGUAUGCAUUAAAAAUUGGUUUUGGUGUACGUAGGAGAGUUACUAACAAAGAGAAGGAUGGUUCCAUAACUUCUACACGCUUUUGUUGUGCAAAAGAGGGACAUCGACAAAAAGAUAAACGGAUGGAAUUAGUAAAAAAGCCUAGGCCCGAAACGAGGAUGGACUGCCAUGCAUGAAUGGGAAUCAAAUUAGUUCGAGAGAGCGGUAAAUAUUUUGUGUAUGAUUUUGAGCCAAUGCAUUCCCAUCCACUCCACUUUGCAGAGUGUACUCACUUGAUACGGUCACAUAGGCAAAUAAGCGACAUCCAAGCUCAGCAAAUUGUGUUGGGCGACAAUGCGGGCCUCACACAGAGAAAGUAGCAUGACUUGUCUAGUGUACGAUCCGGGAGAAGAGAAAAUGUUGGUUACACGAGGAUUGAUGUGAAAAACUAUCUUCGCACUAAACAUGGGAGAGACAUGGAGUUUGGAGACGCAGGAUGUUUAUUGAAAGAUGGACACAUGAGGCAAGAGAUGGAAUACUCGAGAAGCAUGGUUUAGAUGCUCGGGGGAAUGGUGACAUGGAUGUUACCGAUAGAUAUAGAGAGGUGUGUCCCGAGUUUGUGAAGAUAGCGGUUAAGGGCUCACAAACUAUUCGGAGAUAUGAAUUUAUCAAGAAGAUGAUCUUGACCAUAAACAAAUCUCUCGAUGAAAUGCCACUUGGAGGUGAGUUUCGGAGAAAUUUGACAGGCUUAAGUGAAGAUACGAGUCUCAUUGCAAAAUGUACGGGCCUCAACAAGAAAGAUGGACGCAAAGGAGGAAAGCGACAUAAGAGCUGUUUAGAGAAGAAUAAAAGAAAAUGAAAGAAGCAAGGAGAUGCACCUCAAGCUUCUUCGCAAGCUUCUUGGGCACCUCAAGUUCUUGGAAAUUACAAUAACUCUCCGGGUUUUUGUAGUAAUCUACUCGAGACGUUUGAGGCACCACGAGACUUCAAUAUGCCUUCCAUGAUAACAUCGCUUGUUGACGGGUAAUGCACUAUUCUAUUUGCACUAAGUUAUGUUCAUCUUAUUAUGUUCAUUUUAUCAUGCAUGCUAAUUUCUAAUUUUUUUUCAUAUUUACUAACACUCGGGACAUUUCAUUGUGGAUGUUUAAGCUUAUGAGCCUAGCUAUGUAGCUCCACCAGGUCCCCCCGAACUUAGAAGAUACAACUCCACCUCAAGUUCAUCUAUUUCAAAAAGAUGCUACGAUUUCGGGUUAUGAAAUUUGGAAAUGCGAAUCAAAUAAAUUUUAUUGCUUCGGAGGUUCGUGGAUCAUUUGCUGCAACUUUGGUUGAAGCACAGAUUGAGCUUUUCAACUCUUUG
RNA transcript from Rhodamnia argentea, 1539 nucleotides. It is a transcript of the gene named protein FAR1-RELATED SEQUENCE 12-like, with no coding region annotated. The record is from RefSeq and is a predicted model, not a curated record. The transcript is spliced from 5 exons. NCBI's taxonomy places the organism in Eukaryota, Viridiplantae, Streptophyta, Magnoliopsida, Myrtales, Myrtaceae.